This is a long non-coding RNA of Tupaia belangeri chinensis (Chinese tree shrew), 292 nucleotides long. RefSeq lists it as uncharacterized. Lineage: Eukaryota; Metazoa; Chordata; Mammalia; Scandentia; Tupaiidae. The record is from RefSeq and is a predicted model, not a curated record. The transcript is spliced from 3 exons.
CCAACGACCUCGUCCCGGGAGGGCCCUCCGUGUUCCUGCCAGCCCCGGAAGCGGUUCUCCGGAGCCCUCCGGCCGCGCUGCUUCCAGGCCGCGGCCACGACCAGCCCAGCGCGGGAUGAGAAGCAGAAGAGCCAGGAUGUCACCCUGGCAGCAGCCUCCCAGAGUCUGGGCUCCAAAUCAUCUCCUUGUAAUGCCCACACCAGGUGUUCCAACAGAAGGGAAUUGUGAUAACACUCUGCAAUGAACCUGUAUAGGAAGUACAAACAUGUGGAUGACACUGGGAAAGUGAACA